RNAcentral lists this ribosomal RNA (727 nucleotides) under Campylobacter jejuni. Its description in RNAcentral is "partial 23S ribosomal RNA". It matches the Rfam family "Bacterial large subunit ribosomal RNA", at positions 1196 to 1902 of the family's 2925-position model. Lineage: Bacteria; Pseudomonadati; Campylobacterota; Epsilonproteobacteria; Campylobacterales; Campylobacteraceae. The record is from RNAcentral.
AAAGUUAAGUAGUUUAAGUUGUGUGCAAGUGGUAGGAGAGCGUUCUAUUUGCGUCGAAGGUAUACCGGUAAGGAGUGCUGGAGCGAAUAGAAGUGAGCAUGCAGGCAUGAGUAGCGAUAAUUAAUGUGAGAAUCAUUAACGCCGUAAACCCAAGGUUUCCUACGCGAUGCUCGUCAUCGUAGGGUUAGUCGGGUCCUAAGUCGAGUCCGAAAGGGGUAGACGAUGGCAAAUUGGUUAAUAUUCCAAUACCAACAUUAGUGUGCGAUGGAAGGACGCUUAGGGCUAAGGGGGCUAGCGGAUGGAAGUGCUAGUCUAAGGUCGUAGGAGGUUAUACAGGCAAAUCCGUAUAACAAUACUCCGAGAACUGAAAGGCUUUUUGAAGUCUUCGGAUGGAUAGAAGAACCCCUGAUGCCGUCGAGCCAAGAAAAGUUUCUAAGUUUAGCUAAUGUUGCCCGUACCGUAAACCGACACAGGUGGGUGGGAUGAGUAUUCUAAGGCGCGUGGAAGAACUCUCUUUAAGGAACUCUGCAAAAUAGCACCGUAUCUUCGGUAUAAGGUGUGGUUAGCUUUGUAUUAGGAUUUACUCCGAAAGCAAGGAAACUUACAACAAAGAGUCCCUCCCGACUGUUUACCAAAAACACAGCACUCUGCUAACUCGUAAGAGGAUGUAUAGGGUGUGACGCCUGCCCGGUGCUCGAAGGUUAAUUGAUGGGGUUAGCAUUAGCGA